GAUAGCUUGUGUGUUAGUGGAACGGUCUGGAAAGUCCGGCGAUACAGGGUGAUAGCCCCGUACACGAAAACGCACUUGUGGUACUAAGCUUGCGAUAAGUAGGUCGGGACACGUGUUAUCUUGACUGAAGAUAGGGGGACCAUCCUCUAAGGCUAAAUA
This 159-nucleotide ribosomal RNA is filed under the name Palpitomonas bilix. RNAcentral's name for it is "partial Bacterial large subunit ribosomal RNA". It matches the Rfam family "Bacterial large subunit ribosomal RNA", at positions 316 to 472 of the family's 2925-position model. The record is from RNAcentral.